Molecule: ribosomal RNA, 301 nt
Filed under: uncultured bacterium
Lineage: Bacteria
Description: partial 16S ribosomal RNA
Rfam family: Bacterial small subunit ribosomal RNA
Source: RNAcentral
CAGCCGCCACGGUAAUACGAAGGGGGCUAGCGUUGCUCGGAAUGACUGGGCGUAAAGGGCGCGUAGGCGGUUUGUACAGUUGGAUGUGAAAUUCCUGGGCUUAACCUGGGGGCUGCAUUCAAUACGUGCAGGCUUGAGUGUGGAAGAGGGUUGUGGAAUUCCCAGUGUAGAGGUGAAAUUCGUAGAUAUUGGGAAGAACACCGGUGGCGAAGGCGGCAACCUGGUCCAUUACUGACGCUGAGGCGCGAAAGCGUGGGGAGCAAACAGGAUUAGAUACCCCUGUAGUCCCUGUCUCUUAUAC